CCCUCGAGCAGCGUGGUGUUAACAUUCCCAAAAAAGCACCAUGGCAACCUCUCAGUGCUCCUGCCUGCAUGGUCAGCAAGCAGAAGUCUCCAAAGGGGAUCAGAGGAGGGUGACAAAAGCAAUGUGGACACUGCAGCUCCUUCCAAGGGCUCCCAACCCUCCAGGGAUGGGCUCUUCCCACACUGCAGUCAAUGAAUCUCUAAUCUCCUGGACUGAAAUGUCUGACACUUCCAGCAUCAUUUCCCUGCUGCCUCGGCUCGCAGAGCUCCACCUACAGCAGUGUCUCAGCAGUGGGCUGCUGGUGGAUCUGAGAGAAAUGUCUGGGUUUUUGGGGUGGGAGGGAUGGAUGGAGGGAUGAAGGAUGAGCAGGGGUUGUGCUGUGCUCUGUGUGCCUCUCACAGCACCCUUCCAGCCGGGAUCUGAGGGACGAGGAGUGGAUGAGCUCUGGCUGAAUAAAUUGAAUUUAUUCCACGGCUGCUCCUGCCCA
RNAcentral lists this long non-coding RNA (487 nucleotides) under Junco hyemalis (dark-eyed junco). RNAcentral describes it as "lncRNA (ENSJHYG00000012001.1)". The record is from RNAcentral. Lineage: Eukaryota; Metazoa; Chordata; Aves; Passeriformes; Passerellidae.